Molecule: ribosomal RNA, 194 nt
Filed under: uncultured bacterium
Lineage: Bacteria
Description: partial 16S ribosomal RNA
Rfam family: Bacterial small subunit ribosomal RNA
Source: RNAcentral
CCCCUACGGGAGGCAGCAGUGAGGAAUAUUGGUCAAUGGAUGAAAAUCUGAACCAGCCAAGUAGCGUGCAGGAUGACGGCCCUAUGGGUUGUAAACUGCUUUUAGUUGGGAAUAAAAAGAGGACGUGUCCUCUAUUGUAUGUACCUUCAGAAAAAGGACCGGCUAAUUCCGUGCCAGCAGCCGCGGUAAUGGGG